Long non-coding RNA from Brassica napus (rape), 1492 nucleotides. RefSeq lists it as uncharacterized. The record is from RefSeq and is a predicted model, not a curated record. Lineage: Eukaryota; Viridiplantae; Streptophyta; Magnoliopsida; Brassicales; Brassicaceae. The transcript has 2 exons.
CCUAAUCAUUAUCUGAAGUAUCGAAACUGAAACGGAAACUAACAAUGCUGGUCUCAACUUCUCAAGCUUCUUUCUAAAAAAGACUUCUCAAGCCUCGAAGACGAUGUACGUCCACACUAGGGUUUCUCUUUUAUAAAUUGUAUAUAACACUUUGUAUUUAGAAAAAAAUUAUUCUAAGAGACAUUUUUUUAGUUUCUAAUUACAUAAAUGAACACUUUAUGCGGGAGAAAGGGUGUAUAAUGUCCUUUUUGUCCUUUAACUAAAUCAAAAUUCGUUUUCUUUCGUUUUUUGUCAUUGUAUUUUUUAAUCAUAUUUCUCUUUCUUCUGUACGAGAGAGAAAGAAACGUUAUACAAAUCCACUCUAAUGGAUCUUUUUUCUUAAGAUUUGUUAAUCCAAUCCUUAAAGUUUCAUUUCAUAACUCUAUUAAUUGAGAAACUCGAUCUUUCAUUGUCUUUUUUUCGUCUUCUUCUUCUCCUCCUGUGGUUUUUCACACAACAUAAAGUUAUUCGCGCUCAACGACCCAAUUGCUUCCCAUGGACUCAGAGCUUCACAUAAAAAAGAACCCAGAAAUAAAGAACUAAACGUUAUCACACAAAAUCAAUUUGAUUGAUCUCAUAACUUCAGGUCCAACCAUGGGGCAAUAGAAAAGUAAAUUGUUAAAGUCAGAUUUAAGAGAUGCCUAAACGAAGGUGAUGGUGGUUAUGGAGGUGGCGGUGGAUGUGGAGACCGUGGUAGAGGUGGCAGUGGUGGUUAUGGAGAUGGCAGUGGUGGCUAUGAACGAAGUUUAGUCCCGUAGGCGGUGGAUGUGGAGACCGUUGGCGGUGGUGGUUAUGGAGGUAGCGUUGGUGGUUAUGAACGAGGCUCAGUCCGGUGGAAGCGGUGGUGGUGGAUACCAUAGAUGAGGUGGUGGUGGAUACCAUAGAUGAGGUGGUGGUGAUGGUUAUGGAGAAGGUGGUGGUUGUAAGGUGAUUAAGGUUUGUCAAAAAAUUAAGGCUUGAGUCUCUGUUCAAGUUUCAGAUUUGACCAUCUGCGUCGCAAUUUUCACUAAUCAAUCAUAAAGUUUGACCGUAGCGGCGGUUUGAAAUCUACAACUGUGGAGAGUGGCUUCACCGGAGGAAGGGAAGGGAAGAGGCGGAGCAGCCAUCCGCAGCCACAGAGGAGGCGGUGAAGAGAGCAACGCGACGUCAGCUACCGACAAGAGGCCGUAAGUGUUUUUUGAGAGGAGUAAGCAAUUCGAGCAAUUUGGUACCUAUCAAUUAUUUUGUGUGGUUACUAUCAGUUCCCAUUAUCCUAAAAACUUUACAUUCAUCAAUUGAGAUGUGGAGGGCAAUUUGGUAAAAAGCACACCUCGAUCUCAGCAAUUGUGUGCAUCAAGUGAAAUGUGUUCUUUUGUGUAAUAAAAGAGAGAAAAAUGUUCUUUUGUGUAACUGUCUCCUGUAUUUAUAUACCUCGAAAGUUUCAAGAGAAGUUACAGUUAUGUUAGUACCCAAA